RNAcentral lists this small nuclear RNA (105 nucleotides) under Propithecus coquereli (Coquerel's sifaka). The record is from RNAcentral. Lineage: Eukaryota; Metazoa; Chordata; Mammalia; Primates; Indriidae.
GGGCUGGCUUCGGCAGCACACAUGCUAAAAUUGGAACGAUACAGAGAAGAUGAGUGUGGCCCAUGCGAGGAGGACACGCAAACUCGCGAAGUGUUCCACAUUUUC